AGCAAGAAUAGGGGGACCAAAUGCACAAAUAGACCAUCUAAGGUCAGAAUGCGCAGAUCCCCCUCCCCCCAAACGGCACCAUUUUGCUUAUGUCUUAAAUUAACCAAAGGAAAAAAAAAUUGAAAUCAAAUCUGUUCCAUUUAAAAAAACAAAAAGAAAUCAAUUGCUGCUAGGGCUUUUCUCCUAACCCUCUUGCGCCGUCGAUCAUCUAUUCCCCCA
Molecule: long non-coding RNA, 219 nt
Filed under: Gossypium raimondii (Peruvian cotton)
Lineage: Eukaryota; Viridiplantae; Streptophyta; Magnoliopsida; Malvales; Malvaceae
Description: long non-coding RNA (GRAI_LNC004056)
Source: RNAcentral